Molecule: ribosomal RNA, 460 nt
Filed under: uncultured bacterium
Lineage: Bacteria
Description: partial 16S ribosomal RNA
Rfam family: Bacterial small subunit ribosomal RNA
Source: RNAcentral
CCUACGGGAGGCAGCAGUGAGGAAUAUUGGUCAAUGGACGAGAGUCUGAACCAGCCAAGUAGCGUGAAGGAUGACUGCCCUAUGGGUUGUAAACUUCUUUUAUAUGGGAAUAAACUGUUCCACGUGUGGGAUUUUGUAUGUACCAUAUGAAUAAGGAUCGGCUAACUCCGUGCCAGCAGCCGCGGUAAUACGGAGGAUCCGAGCGUUAUCCGGAUUUAUUGGGUUUAAAGGGAGCGUAGGUGGAUUGUUAAGUCAGUUGUGAAAGUUUGCGGCUCAACCGUAAAAUUGCAGUUGAAACUGGCAGUCGUGAGUACAGUAGAGGUGGGCGGAAUGCGUGGGGUAGCGGUGAAAUGCUUAGAUAUCACGAAGAACUCCGAUUGCGAAGGCAGCUCACUGGACUGCAACUGACACUGAGGCUCGAAAGUGUGGGUAUCAAACAGGAUUAGAUACCCUUGUAGUC